This 124-nucleotide ribosomal RNA is filed under the name Ormenophlebia saltuum. RNAcentral's name for it is "partial small subunit ribosomal RNA". The record is from RNAcentral. Lineage: Eukaryota; Metazoa; Arthropoda; Insecta; Odonata; Calopterygidae.
AAAUAAUUUAUUUAGUUUAUUGAUUAUUGGGCUCUAAAAUAUGCACAUAUCGCCCGUCGCUCUCGUGAUAAAUGAGAUAAGUCGUAACAUAGUAGAUGUAUUGGAAAAUGUAUCUAGAUAGUCA